This 240-nucleotide unclassified non-coding RNA is filed under the name soil metagenome. RNAcentral's name for it is "partial contains 5.8S ribosomal RNA, internal transcribed spacer 2, and large subunit ribosomal RNA". The record is from RNAcentral.
AACAAGGCGUACCUGCGGACCUGCGGAGGGAUCAUUAACGAGUGUAACCUAUCCUUUUAAAAAAUGGUGGUACCUCCCGUCCUUUGCGGGCCCCCUUCUAUUAUUAAGGGGGGCUUUUAAGACUUUCUGCUUCGGCGGGGUUAUUCCCGCCGGAACACCCUCAAAAAACUCUUGAUCAAAAAACAGUUCAGUCCGAGAAUUUUUGAAAAUUAAAAUAAAACUUUCAACAACGGAUCUCAG